UAAAAUUUGAGCAAAACUUCAAAUUAAAAAUUGAUUGAAAAGUACUUAAUUAAAAACACAAAUUUAUCUGUAAGACUAAUUGGAAUAGUAGGAUGAUUUAUGUACGUUGCAGGGACGACACUUGAAUCCGACGAAAUACCGCCUCUACAAUAGCAUUCCAAACAUAAUUUUUAGUUUAUUUUUAGCUAGCACAACAAAAAAUUGCCGUCAAGGUUCAUUGCAAAAUCCUUUCUUACCAAUCAUUUAUGUGUUAACUUGCAGUGUCUUUUUGGAUUAUUGGUGGCGUGCGUCAUGAUGUUGUUACGCAAAUGGAGAGACCUACUGUUUGAAGCCCACUCUGAACGGCAGAUAUUUUUUAAACGGAACUUUUUGCUAUUGCCUGCCGAGAGGCGGCCGCUUUAGAAAAAACUUCUUCAUUUUGGUGUUUUUCUUUUUAAAUAAAAGGUUUUCCAAUCAGA
This is a long non-coding RNA of Anastrepha ludens (Mexican fruit fly), 458 nucleotides long. RefSeq lists it as uncharacterized. The transcript has 2 exons. The record is from RefSeq and is a predicted model, not a curated record. Lineage: Eukaryota; Metazoa; Arthropoda; Insecta; Diptera; Tephritidae.